RNAcentral lists this long non-coding RNA (489 nucleotides) under Mustela putorius furo (domestic ferret). RNAcentral's name for it is "lncRNA (ENSMPUG00000026102.1)". The record is from RNAcentral. Lineage: Eukaryota; Metazoa; Chordata; Mammalia; Carnivora; Mustelidae.
GGCACAUAGGCCACCUUGCAAGAGAGGGACUCUUGUCAUAAGCCAAGGAUGGCCAAGGUUUGUUGUGACAGAAACUCCUUUAAAGUCUUUAUAGUUAAACUGGAAUUUAGAUGAUUCAAUCCAACAUUCUGGAACUUCUUAACUAUGUAACCUUGGCUAAGUUAUCUCAACUCUUUAAAAGUAAGUACCCUCCUCUCUAAAAGCAUAAAGGAGUAAGAAUAGUACCUGGAACAUAGGAAAUGUUUAGGCUGUUGGAGCUCAGGAGGAGACCUAUAGAAAUCAGAAAACCUCACUUCAACAGGCACCACCACCUGCCAGUAGGACAUUCUAAAACCAACCAGAUGACUUCCCUGAGCCUCAGUUUUUUCAUUUGUAAAGUGGAGAAGUAGCAACACCUUUCCUACAGAACUAGGAUAGAGGGAGAAAAUAGAUGUGAAACAGUGAAAUGCUAGAUUAAGUAUAAGAGUAAUUAUAAACACGAAGAAAAAU